CAGCUGUGUAGUGUUCCAUUGUAAGUGUGUAUCGUAGAUUAUUUAAGCCGUCCCUCAUUUAUGCACAUUUGGGCUGAUUCCAGUUUUUUUUUUUUUUAUUGUGUGUGCUCCAGGAGACAGAAUCUUUCAUGGUGGAAUUCCAGACACAGAGGAAGUAUUUGGGAUCAGGGGCUUCCGGGUGCUCUUAGGAGCACCUGUGUCCACCUCAAGGUCAGGAGUCCUUAAGACAGAAGGAGUCCUUGCCUGGUUGUCACAGGGCAGACCCUGUGCAUGUGUGUGUCAGCGUGCUUCCUUCCGGUGGCACCACAGGCCUCCUUGUGACAUCUGCAGGCCCCAUCUCUCUCCUUGGGGACCGUGGGGCACAGGACAGUGGAGGCCUGAUCCCUAUUGCAUGUGGUGAAUCUUAACUCAAGCCUUCAACAUCCUCCUUGAAAGAGGGGGAUAUCAAGAGAAUGAAAACAUGGGCCACACAAUGAGGGGAAAUAUUUGCAAAAGACAUAGUCGAUAAAGAACUAUUAUCCAAAAUAUACCAAGAAUGCUUAAGACAACCAUAAGAAAACAGGUAGGUGCUCUAGCUCACACCUAUAAUCCCAGCACUUUGGGAGGCCGAGGUGGGAGGAUUGCUUGAGCCAUGAGCUCAAGACCAGCCUGGGCAACAUGGCGAGACCUUGUCUCUUCAAAAAAUACAAAAAUUAAUUGGCAUGGUAGUGCACACCUGUAGUUCCAGCUACUCAGGAGGCUGAGGUGAGAGGAUUGCUUGAGCCUGAGAUAUUGAGGCUGCAGUGAGCCAUAAGUGUACCACUGCACUCUAGCCUGGGUGACAGAGUGAGACACUGUCUCAAAAGAAAAAAAAAAGAAACCAAAUAACCAAAUUUAAAAAUGGGCGAAAGAUCUGAACAGACACAUCAACAAAGAAGAUACACAGAUGAUGGCAAAGUGCAUAGGAAAAUAUGUUCAACAUCAUAUGCCAUCAGGGAAAUGCAAAUUAAGACAACAAUGAGAUACUACCACACACCUAUAAGAAUGGCCCAAAUCCAGAACAUUGACAACACCAAAUGCUGGCAAGGAUGUGGAGCAACAGGAACUCUCAUUCAUUGCUGUGGGAAUGCAAAAUGGCACAGCUACUUCAGAAGACGGUUUGGCAGUUUCUUACAAAACUAAAACAUACCCUUACCAUACAAUCCGGCAAUCACACUCUUUGGUAUUUACCCAAAUGAAUUGAAAAUUUAUGUUCACACAAAAACCUGCAUGCAAAUGUUUAGAGCAGUUUUAUUCAUAAUGCCAAAACUUGAAAGCAACUAAGAUGUCCUUCAGUAGGUGAAUGGAUAAACUGGAAUGCAUCCAGACAAUGAAAUAUCAUUCAGUGCUAAAAAGAAAUGAGCUAUCUCAACCAUGAAAAGUCAUGGAGGAAGAAUGCCUGUUACUAAGUGAAUCUGAAAAGGUUACAUGCUAGAUGAUUCCAAUUCUAUGACAUUCUGGAAAAGGCAAAACUAUGGAGACAGCAAAAGGAUUAGUGGUUGCCAGGGGCUGGAAGGGGAUGGUGGGGAUAAUGGAUGAAUAGACAGAAUAUGGGGGAGUUUUUAGGGCAGUGAUAACAUUCUAUGUGAUUCUACAAUGGUGAUUAUGUGCCAUUAUACAUUUGCCCAAGCCCAUAGAAUGCACAAUACCAAGAGUGAGCCCUCAUGGGAGUGAGGGACACUGGGUGGUGAUGAUGGGUCCAGGCAGGUUCAUUGAUUGUGCUAAAUGCACCACUCUGGUGGGGAUGGUGAUAGUGUGUAUGUGGGGGGACUGGGCAUGUGUGGGGGCAGGGGGCACAUGGGAACUCUGUACUUUCUGCUCAAUUUUACUAUGAAACUCAAACUGCUCUAAAAAAUAAAGUUUAUUUUAAAAACUGAAAA
Homo sapiens (human) is the source of this 1898-nucleotide long non-coding RNA. RefSeq lists it as uncharacterized. NCBI's taxonomy places the organism in Eukaryota, Metazoa, Chordata, Mammalia, Primates, Hominidae. The record is from RefSeq and is a predicted model, not a curated record. The transcript has 2 exons.